RNAcentral lists this transfer RNA (76 nucleotides) under Actinomyces sp. RNAcentral's name for it is "tRNA-Lys". It matches the Rfam family "tRNA". Rfam says of the family: Transfer RNA (tRNA) molecules are approximately 80 nucleotides in length. Lineage: Bacteria; Bacillati; Actinomycetota; Actinomycetes; Actinomycetales; Actinomycetaceae. RNAcentral also lists the same sequence under 11 other names. The record is from RNAcentral.
GCGCCGUUAGCUCAAUUGGCAGAGCAGCUGGCUCUUAACCAGCGGGUUGGGGGUUCGAUUCCCUCACGGCGCACCA